UGUUCAGUCAUACUCUUAACUAUAAGUGGAGUAUCAGAACAUGAUGAAUUGAGAUUAAUGACAUAUGAUGAGUAUCUUUGGCUCUCAGAGAACAGGAGCACUCUGGGAGGCUCCAUUCUGGC
Sphaeramia orbicularis (orbiculate cardinalfish) is the source of this 122-nucleotide small nucleolar RNA. Its record names the gene U8. It matches the Rfam family "U8 small nucleolar RNA". From Rfam's summary of the family: U8 is a member of the C/D class of snoRNA which contain the C (UGAUGA) and D (CUGA) box motifs. The record is from Ensembl. Lineage: Eukaryota; Metazoa; Chordata; Actinopteri; Kurtiformes; Apogonidae.